Maylandia zebra (zebra mbuna) is the source of this 1004-nucleotide long non-coding RNA. RefSeq lists it as uncharacterized. Lineage: Eukaryota; Metazoa; Chordata; Actinopteri; Cichliformes; Cichlidae. The record is from RefSeq and is a predicted model, not a curated record.
UUGUCUUACUGAGCAAAGUCUUUUGAGUGUAUGCAAGCUGUAGUUGUGUAUCCUGACAGCUGCCUCUGUUAUUUCCCCCCCAGGCGGAGCAUGGAAACGAGAGGGCAGCAAGCACGGGGUGUGCGGACACACGGGAGCUGAAAAUACAGAGCACGGACUUCGGGUGUAGAAAGACACGACAAGGGAGUCAGGGGAGCGCACGGGGAUCUAUUGUGUAAUAUUCACAGCACUGUCAAUAAACGCACUGUUUUCUGCACCAGAGUCCUGCAUUGUGGGUCCUGAUUUCCCCACAUCCCCACGGUCUGCCAGCCAUGACAGUGUGUACGUGUCACCAUUAGUGACAGGCUUGCCACUGAAAAAAGAGAAAACUGAGAGAAAGACACGACUCCCACGGUUCCUGUCAAAACCUUGGAACAGGAACAGCUCAAACAACAUGAUAUUGUCUAAAACCAGGAUGAAAGCCAGGAACAAGUAGCUGUUUGCCAGAAAACCGCAACAUACAUGGCUAAGAAAGCGUCAGUCACAUUUUGGAAAGGAGAUUUCAGUGCCUUCGAAAUGGCUGCAAUUGUGAAUGCUGCUAAUUGAACUCUUUCUCACAUGGGCAGACUUACAAAGGCACUAUUUGCCACUGGUGGAUGUAAUAUCAAAGCAGAGAGCAAUGUCUUCUUUGCCAAAAAUGGCAAAUUAAAGACAGGACAAGUAGCGGUAAGCAGGGAAACUACCUUGCAUGACGCUUAUUCAUUUGGUAGGCCCAUGUCUGCAGAAUGACCCAACAGUGCGCAUGAUAUCCACUGCUAAAGUAAAAUAAAAUGAUAAAUUAGUCCACAAAAAGUAGCAGUCAUUAAAUAGAUUCAAACUGUUUUUUUUUUUUUUUCAGCUGUUAUGAUUUCUAAUCAAACACACCCCACAAAUAUUAUGUGUAAUAUAUCAGCAUUAAAGUGUUUUACAAGAACAAGAGUAAAUGAGACAAGUAUUAAUUUCUGAAUUUUGUUUAACAUCACAAA